AUUGAACGCUGGCGGAAUGCUUUACACAUGCAAGUCGAGCGGCAGCACGGGGGCAACCCUGGUGGCGAGCGGCGAACGGGUGAGUAAUACAUCGGAACAUGCCCAGUCGUGGGGGAUAACACUUCGAAAGAAGUGCUAAUACCGCAUACGUCCUGAGGGGGAAAGCGGGGGAUCGCAAGACCUCGCGCGAUUGGAGUGGCCGAUGUCAGAUUAGCUAGUUGGUGGGGUAAAGGCCUACCAAGGCAACGAUCUGUAGCUGGUCUGAGAGGAUGAUCAGCCACACUGGGAGUGAGACACGGCCCAGACUCCUACGGGAGGCAGCAGUGGGGAAUUUUGGACAAUGGGGGCAACCCUGAUCCAGCCAUUCCGCGUGAGUGAAGAAGGCCUUCGGGUUGUAAAGCUCUUUCGGCAGGAACGAAACGGUGAGCUCUAACAUAGCUUGCUAAUGACGGUACCUGAAGAAGAAGCACCGGCUAACUACGUG
RNAcentral lists this ribosomal RNA (484 nucleotides) under uncultured bacterium. RNAcentral's name for it is "partial 16S ribosomal RNA". It matches the Rfam family "Bacterial small subunit ribosomal RNA", at positions 30 to 507 of the family's 1533-position model. The record is from RNAcentral.